CCGGGUGCUAACGUCCGACGUCAAGAGGGAAACAACCCAGACCGCCAGCUAAGGUCCCCAAGAUUGGCUAAGUGGGAAACGAAGUGGGAAGGCUAAAACAGUCAGGAGGUUGGCUUAGAAGCAGCCACCCUUUAAAGAAAGCGUAAUAGCUCACUGAUCGAGUCGUCCUGCGCGGAAGAUGUAACGGGGCUAAGCCAGUCACCGAAGCUGCGGAUGCGUGCUUGCACGCAUGGUAGGAGAGCGUUCCGUAAGCCUGCGAAGGUGCCUUGUAAAGGGUGCUGGAGGUAUCGGAAGUGCGAAUGCUGACAUGAGUAGCGAUAAAGGGGGUGAAAGGCCCCCUCGCCGUAAGCCCAAGGUUUCCUACGCAACGUUCAUCGGCGUAGGGUGAGUCGGCCC
This 396-nucleotide ribosomal RNA is filed under the name uncultured Burkholderiaceae bacterium. RNAcentral's name for it is "bacterial LSU rRNA". It matches the Rfam family "Bacterial large subunit ribosomal RNA", at positions 991 to 1390 of the family's 2925-position model. The record is from RNAcentral. Lineage: Bacteria; Pseudomonadati; Pseudomonadota; Betaproteobacteria; Burkholderiales; Burkholderiaceae.